Molecule: ribosomal RNA, 418 nt
Filed under: uncultured bacterium
Lineage: Bacteria
Description: bacterial SSU rRNA
Rfam family: Bacterial small subunit ribosomal RNA
Source: RNAcentral
UGGGGAAUAUUGCACAAUGGGGGAAACCCUGAUGCAGCAACGCCGCGUGAAGGAAGACGGUUUUCGGAUUGUAAACUUCUGUUCUUAGUGAAGAAUAAUGACGGUAGCUAAGGAGCAAGCCACGGCUAACUACGUGCCAGCAGCCGCGGUAAUACGUAGGUGGCAAGCGUUGUCCGGAAUUACUGGGUGUAAAGGGAGCGCAGGCGGGAGACCAAGUCAGCUGUGAAAACUACGGGCUUAACCUGUAGACUGCAGUUGAAAACUGGUUUUCCUUGAGUGAAGUAGAGGUUGGCGGAACUCCGAGUGUAGCGGUGAAACUGCGUAGAUAUUCGGAGGAACACCGGUGGCGAAGGCGGCCAACUGGGCUUUAACUGACGCUGAGGCUCGAAAGUGUGGGGAGCAAACAGGAUUAGAUACC